ACGCUGGCGGCAGGCCUAACACAUGCAAGUCGAGCGGUAGAGAGAAGCUUGCUUCUCUUGAGAGCGGCGGACGGGUGAGUAAUGCCUAGGAAUCUGCCUGGUAGUGGGGGAUAACGUUCGGAAACGGACGCUAAUACCGCAUACGUCCCACGGGAGAAAGCAGGGGACCUUCGGGCCUUGCGCUAUCAGAUGAGCCUAGGUCGGAUUAGCUAGUUGGUGGGGUAAUGGCUCACCAAGGCGACGAUCCGUAACUGGUCUGAGAGGAUGAUCAGUCACACUGGAACUGAGACACGGUCCAGACUCCUACGGGAGGCAGCAGUGGGGAAUAUUGGACAAUGGGCGAAAGCCUGAUCCAGCCAUGCCGCGUGUGUGAAGAAGGUCUUCGGAUUGUAAAGCACUUUAAGUUGGGAGGAAGGGUUGUAGAUUAAUACUCUGCAAUUUUGACGUUACCGACAGAAUAAGCACCGGCUAACUCUGUGCCAGCAGCCGCGGUAAUACAGAGGGUGCAAGCGUUAAUCGGAAUUACUGGGCGUAAAGCGCGCGUAGGUGGUUAGUUAAGUUGGAUGUGAAAUCCCCGGGCUCAACCUGGGAACUGCAUUCAAAACUGACUGACUAGAGUAUGGUAGAGGGUGGUGGAAUUUCCUGUGUAGCGGUGAAAUGCGUAGAUAUAGGAAGGAACACCAGUGGCGAAGGCGACCACCUGGACUGGUACUGACACUGAGGUGCGAAAGCGUGGGGAGCAAAC
RNAcentral lists this ribosomal RNA (745 nucleotides) under uncultured bacterium. RNAcentral describes it as "bacterial SSU rRNA". It matches the Rfam family "Bacterial small subunit ribosomal RNA", at positions 33 to 773 of the family's 1533-position model. The record is from RNAcentral.